This is a long non-coding RNA of Capsicum annuum, 2294 nucleotides long. RefSeq lists it as uncharacterized. Lineage: Eukaryota; Viridiplantae; Streptophyta; Magnoliopsida; Solanales; Solanaceae. The record is from RefSeq and is a predicted model, not a curated record. The transcript has 2 exons.
UUAUAAAUCUCUAAUAUAACUGAAGUGAGAGGAAAAGAUGUUUUUGUAUGAAUCCUUUCUAAAUACAUGGAGAUAUUAACUAUCUGUCUAUAGAAUGCAAAUAUUAAAAAUUAAAUCAAAAAGUUAGUUAAAAGGUAUCUAAGAUGGCUAUAUGCUAAGCCUUGCCUUUAAUUUUUGGAUCUUCUUUUUCAAAUAUCUUGUCACGAUCCAAUAAAAAACACAUUUCAGUCAAACCAACAAAAAGAGGGAAAAAGGAUGUGCUCAGCCUCAUUCUGCCAUUAAGAGGAGGCGAAAUGCAUGGACGAUGACCCUUACCAUGAUUAUAUAUCCGAAGCGAACAUACAUCCCCAAAACACGUAAAUAUGUGUUAACUUAGGUAGUUAUUGACAAGUUCACAAUUAAUUAUUUAGAACUACUAUUUAACAAUUUACUAAAAUUAAUUAAUCAACAGGAGAAAAAAAGACAAUGUAAUUAAUUUUUUUUAAAGAAAAAAUGAUAGUUUACAAAAUCUAUCUAUAUCUAAUAAUAAAGGCAAAAAUUAUUACAUAUCAACAUUACAAAAAAAUUACAUUUAUCGUUAAAAAUUAAACAUUAAAAUAAUAAUUCAAAGUAUUUGUCAUUAGACAUUAAAACUUAAACAUUAAAAUAAAUAAUUUAGAAAAUGCAAAAGUCACACAAACUGCAUACUAAACUUCCUCCCAUGUCUUCAAAAACUGCAAAAAAAUAUUUCUAUUUUAUUUUAUUUUAAAAUUAAAAAAAUUGAUGUUAAUUCACUGAAAAACUUCCUUCUAUUUUGCUUUGAAUUUGAAUUUCUUUUAAUUUGCUUCAUGUUUUGACGGUUAUGUUUAGUUUCGGAUAUAUAUUUGACUACUUUUUCCUUUUACUUCUCAAUUUAAAACAAUAGUUUCGGGACAAAACAACACACAUUUUUUAUUGCAAAAAAAGAAAAACAAAUUACCACAAAUAACAUCAAAUUUACUACACAACUUACAGAUUGUCAUGGGAACGUUCAGAGUUUGGAAGUUCUUUAUGAUUUUGUUUCUUUUUUCAAAAUUUUUAUUUGUGAAUAUUGUUGUUUGUAGGUCAACAUUUUUAAAAUGUUUGAUCAUGUCUGGAUAAUGAUCAUAGGAGAACGAUAAUUAUAUUUAUCUUCUGGUGGAUUCAUGAUUUCUCUUCUAUUUUAUAGAUCUAUUGAAGAAUCUCCAUGACCGGUGAAGAAAUGCUUCAAAAGUUGUGGGUAAUUGAAUUCAGUGUAAGUGAGAAAGAGAUAACGUAACAUUUGAAAUGAACAUGAAAUUUACCUACCAUAGCUUUAACUCUGAUGUCUCAUUAGGUCUUUGAGGACUUCCCAUUAUUUAUGAUGGUCAUCCUAAGAAAUCUUUGUGAACUACUCCGUCGCCAACAUAUUCCUCCGGCCACCAGCAAAACCUAACGAGCGCCGCACCACCACGCCACUGCCUCCCUCCUCUCCUCUCUCCGCCACCUACAUCACCGGCGAAACCUCAUUAGCUCCACCUCCAGCCGCCACCAACAGCCGCUGCUUCGCCCCCUCAAUCCCGUUCCUGACGAAGACCAGCCCAGUCGCUCCGAUCAACGUCACCAACGGCGGCAACAACAAUACCAGCCGUCCCUCCAUUCUCUUUUCCAGCCAUUGUCGUCUCCACCAGCGCCACAGCCGCCGCUGUACUACAACAGUACCAGGCACCGUUUCCGCCUCCGUUACAGAUCUGGCUUGAGCAACCUUUUCCGGCGUAACAUCGGCCCAAAAUCACCGUCAGGCACCACUUUAUUGCACGAUUCUCCGGCGUAUCUACGGCGAUUUAGCUCACCGUCCGGUCAUACUUCCGUAGUAAACGAACAACAAGAAGAAGAAGAUAGAUAGGUACCAUCAUCAUCAUCAUCAUCUCAAAGAAGAAGAACACAAAGCGCGUUAAAAUUCGGUGACAUGAAUAUUAUUUCGGUAACACUAUUUCGGCGACUAAUUUGUACCGCAAAUUGCCAGAAUCCAGCGACUCAACCAAGUAUAAGGACACAACCCAUCUUCGAUCAGGUAAGGUCUUUCUUGAACAUGGCUCAGAACUGUGACUGAUCUCGCGUGACAGGGCCGGUGCUUGCUGGAUGUCAUGUUGGUCAUAUAUGCUCGUGUAUUUACAUAUGCGUUAUUUGAGCUAUAACGUAUUUUAAGAAGGGACAACAUUAGGUGAUGGAUUUUAAGACGAUACAAUAUUAGGCGAUGACAGUUUAUACAUGGGUCUUUUGGUACAUUGGAUUGAAUAAGUACGAAUUCCAACUCA